UACGGGGGGGGCAAGCGUUGUUCGGAAUUACUGGGCGUAAAGGGCUCGUAGGUGGCCAACUAAGUCAGACGUGAAAUCCCUCGGCUUAACCGGGGAACUGCGUCUGAUACUGGAUGGCUUGAGUUCGGGAGAGGGAUGCGGAAUUCCAGGUGUAGCGGUGAAAUGCGUAGAUAUCUGGAGGAACACCGGUGGCGAAGGCGGCAUCCUGGACCAAUAUUGACGCUGAGGAGCGAAAGCCAGGGGAGCAAACAGG
RNAcentral lists this ribosomal RNA (253 nucleotides) under uncultured bacterium. RNAcentral describes it as "partial 16S ribosomal RNA". It matches the Rfam family "Bacterial small subunit ribosomal RNA", at positions 524 to 776 of the family's 1533-position model. The record is from RNAcentral.